This 449-nucleotide ribosomal RNA is filed under the name uncultured bacterium. RNAcentral's name for it is "partial 16S ribosomal RNA". It matches the Rfam family "Bacterial small subunit ribosomal RNA", at positions 29 to 523 of the family's 1533-position model. The record is from RNAcentral.
AACGGACGCUGGCGGCAGGCUUAACACAUGCAAGUCGAGCGCGCAGUUUACUGCCAGCGGCAGACGGGUGAGUAACGCGUGGGAAUCUACCCAGAACUACGGAAUAACAUGAAGAAAUAUGUGCUAAUACCGUCUACGCGCUUCGGGGGAAAGAUUUAUUGGUUUUGGAUGAGCCCGCGUUGGAUAAGCUAGUUGGUAGGGUAAGGGCCUACCAAGGCGACGAUCCAUAGCUGGUCUGAGAGGAUGAUCAGCCACACUGGGACUGAGACACGGCCCAGACUCCUACGGGAGGCAGCAGUGGGGAAUAUUGGACAAUGGGCGCAAGCCUGAUCCAGCCAUGCCGCGUGAGUGAUGAAGGCCUUAGGGUUGUAAAGCUCUUUCACCGGUGAAGAUAAUGACGGUAACCGGAGAAGAAGCCCCGGCUAACUUCGUGCCAGCCGCCGCAGUAA